RNAcentral lists this ribosomal RNA (492 nucleotides) under uncultured bacterium. RNAcentral's name for it is "partial 16S ribosomal RNA". It matches the Rfam family "Bacterial small subunit ribosomal RNA", at positions 29 to 507 of the family's 1533-position model. The record is from RNAcentral.
AGUGAACGCUGGCGGUAGGCCUAACACAUGCAAGUCGAACGGCAGCACAGUAAGAGCUUGCUCUUACGGGUGGCGAGUGGCGGACGGGUGAGGAAUACAUCGGAAUCUACUUUUUCGUGGGGGAUAACGUAGGGAAACUUACGCUAAUACCGCAUACGACCUACGGGUGAAAGCAGGGGAUCUUCGGACCCUGCGCGAUUGAAUGAGCCGAUGUCGGACUAGCUAGUUGGCGGGGUAAAGGCCCACCAAGGCGACGAUCCGUAGCUGGUCUGAGAGGAUGAUCAGCCACACUGGAACUGAGACACGGUCCAGACUCCUACGGGAGGCAGCAGUGGGGAAUAUUGGACAAUGGGCGCAAGCCUGAUCCAGCCAUACCGCGUGGGUGAAGAAGGCCUUCGGGUUGUAAAGCCCUUUUGUUGGGAAAGAAAAGCAGCAGGUUAAUACCCCGCUGUUCUGACGGUACCCAAAGAAUAAGCACCGGCUAACUUCGUG